Molecule: ribosomal RNA, 253 nt
Filed under: uncultured bacterium
Lineage: Bacteria
Description: partial 16S ribosomal RNA
Rfam family: Bacterial small subunit ribosomal RNA
Source: RNAcentral
UACAGAGGGGGCAAGCGUUAUUCGGAAUUAUUGGGCGUAAAGGGCGCGUAGGCGGCCUUGCGUGUCUUUCGUGAAAUCCCUCGGCUUAACUGAGGACGUGCGGAAGAAACUGCAGGGCUCGAGUCCGGGAGAGGGGGGUGGAAUUCCCAGUGUAGCGGUGAAAUGCGUAGAUAUUGGGAGGAACACCGAUGGCGAAGGCAGCCCCCUGGGUCAAAACUGACGCUCAUGCACGAAAGCGUGGGGAGCAAACAGG